Molecule: small RNA, 259 nt
Filed under: Tursiops truncatus (common bottlenose dolphin)
Lineage: Eukaryota; Metazoa; Chordata; Mammalia; Artiodactyla; Delphinidae
Description: 7SK RNA (ENSTTRG00000024954.1)
Source: RNAcentral
GGAAGGCUGGGGAGGGCAGUCUUGCCGUGGCAUCCACCCUCUUGCUGAUGGUCAAUGGUGACUGGACCAACUGCACAGGUGGGUACCCCUUCCUUCCUCAGCACAGGGUCCAUGUCCCUCUCUUGAUGCAGGGCCACCUUUUUAGAUAGAUGAGCCACUCCUAGGUCGAGGACUUCUGGGCCUGUGCAUUCCUUUGCUGGAACUCCCGUGAAAGCAAAAACAAUCCCCACUUUUCAAAAUUAAUAUACAGACUGCCAUU